CUGUAGCUUGGUGGUAAAGUGUCUGUUUUGCAUGCAGAAAGCCCCAGGUUCAGUUCCAGGGCUGGGAGA
Non-coding RNA from Podarcis lilfordi (Lilford's wall lizard), 69 nucleotides. The record is from the annotation of a GenBank genome assembly. NCBI's taxonomy places the organism in Eukaryota, Metazoa, Chordata, Lepidosauria, Squamata, Lacertidae.